Molecule: non-coding RNA, 44 nt
Filed under: Schistosoma curassoni
Lineage: Eukaryota; Metazoa; Platyhelminthes; Trematoda; Strigeidida; Schistosomatidae
Source: RNAcentral
AAUAAACUGAGGAGUCCCACAAUAGGACGAAACGGUCGUCCAGU